Homo sapiens (human) is the source of this 4458-nucleotide long non-coding RNA. Ensembl annotates it as GNAO1 divergent transcript. Its record names the gene GNAO1-DT. NCBI's taxonomy places the organism in Eukaryota, Metazoa, Chordata, Mammalia, Primates, Hominidae. The record is from Ensembl.
AUCGACUUUUCCGGCCUCGGCUGGGCGCUGUCCACCACUUGCAACGCCUGAAACCUCAUCCAGCUCAGGUGGCUGGGGCUUCUACUGGGCUCCGAGUCCGCCACUGCUGAUUACAGACUUCUGAAGUUUUAAAACGUCCCCCCUCGGGAGAAAGGGGUGGCGCGGCUUGCAUUUACAGAUCUGCAAGGGCUCCAGACAGAUGCAACAUGCACCUUGUUGCAAAGGGCAAUUCCCCAGGCCCCGCCUCCCCAUCAAUUUGGGUUGCACAAGCUCAAGAGAAGCCCCAAGCUAAAUUACCCCUGGCUCAGAAGGGUGCGGCGAGCCAAGGGGGGCUCUGCGAAGAAAGCCCCAGGGAGCUCUCGAAUAAAAAUAAGAACAUGUCAAGCAGAUGGGAAAAUUGUCUCCGAGUCGCUACUCCCUACCAUCAUGGCGCCGCCUAGAACCCGCUUGUCAUGCCUGUUACACAUCCAAGAUUUUUUGCAUCUUGGUUCUGAAACCGCAAGCAUGCUUCGUCUCCCACUCCCACCUUCCCACGAAAGGGGUUUUUAUUUUCCAUUGUUUCCCUACGCGAUGCAAUUAUUUCGGCUAUUGUGUCAAGUUGAAAAAUAAUCAUUUUUGUUUACUGCACAGCAACCCCUAAUUAGGAGCUGUGUGUGCACGAAGGUGUCACAGCAAAGCGACGUGGAAUCUUCGCUAAACGGUCUAAACGAACUCCUCCGUCUCGAACUGACAGGCCAACCGAAACAGGAGGCCCGGAGGGCGCACACCCCUUCGCUGCCGGCCACCCCCUCCCCAAGCAAACCUGCCUGUGGGAUCACCAGGAACUGCCGAGUGGAUAGGGCAAGAAGCGAGCCUGCAAGUGGAAAGGAGGGGCGAGGCUCCUUAUUGAGAAAGUGUGGAAGGGAAGGAAUAUCCCAUUUUGUUUUAAUUUUCAACCAUCACUCAAAUCCACCCCCAGUUAAUUAGGAGGGGAAACUGAUAGCUAAGGCAGAAGGGGGCGGCGGCAAGUGGGGCCUGAAAUCCGCAUUGUGGGUAGAUUACAUGGAACACGGCCUAUGCAGAGUGUAAAUAAAUACACUGAUAAAGGCCACGGAGCGAACGAAAACUGCGGGUGUCAGGAGAGCAAUGCUGGGAGGGUGGGGGAGGAGAGGAGCUGGGGGCAGCAAGGGGCGGACAUUCAGCCUCACAGGCAGCUUCCCUCCCCCUUCCACCUCUACCUUGGAUAAAACUGUGCCCGUCACCUACGUUUGGAAACCCACUCCUUCCCCUAGCACACGACCCCUCCCCUAACCCUGGCCCUCUUUUUUUGCGGGGGAGGGGGUGCGAGGGGAUGUAGAAACCACAGCCUCCAAUUCAGCACCAAACGCAUGAACAGCAGACACUUGAUCCUCCACCCCAGUCUAGGGCUGGGUCCCCUCCAUGUUAGCCAAGUUCAAAAUCACUGCCCCAGGAAAAGAGCAGGGGGAAGUGGGAUUACGGACCUUGGGGGAUAGGGAGGUAUGGAGGGAAGAGGAGAAAGAAAUAGAGACAGAAUGAAACAGAGACACAGACAGAAAUGGAGGCAGUGAGACACAGAAAAUAUUCCACAAGCAAGAGUAAUGAUCAUAAUCAUGCCAAUAGUGUGAUGUUCUGAUCAAUAUGGCGGACACUGUCAUUCAUACAACUACAGGCGCUCCCCUUCCCCCUCCCAAAAAACACCCACCCAGGAGUUAGGGUGGAGGACCCAGAACCAACGUAGGGAGUGGGGGAGGGGAGUCAAAUAUAGGGGUGUGUGUGUGUGUGUGUGUGUGUGCACGAAUUAAAAAACAGGCCUGGAGAGCAAUGUGGAGUAAGCAAUGUAAUAAAAACGAUUUAAAAAUUAUUCUUAAUAAAAGUACGAAUCCCAAUGCCACAGGGACUUACUUCAUCUGCUUCACAAUGGUGCUUUUUCCUGAUUCUCCAGCCCCUGUUGGGACACAGACAGUGGGGAAAAACUGGCAUUGCUGUGCUGGGAAGGAAUGCUUAAACCUGCCACAGCCAUGUUGUGAUUAUGAAGGGAGCCAACCUGAGGACAAAUCACAUUUUCUGAGGAUGGCAAAGCAAACAGAUGCAAAGAUCCUGGGUCUUUGAUGGCAUUGUGGAGUUGCUGGACAGCUUCCCUACUUUUCACGUUCCUAUGACACAAUGUUAUCAUCGUCCUUGUUGUAUCAGCCAGGGAAGCUAAAGAAUGAUGCGCUCCACCACAAUGAGGGACUAAACAACAAAAAGGAGGCAUGAGAUUCAGGAAGCAAAAAAGGAAUUCAUCAUAUGAAGGAAUGAAGAUGUUCAAAAGAAAACCUUCAACCUCAUGCCAGAAGAUGUUCCCAGCUGUAUAAAUGCCUAACUCAGCUUCUAGUCCUUGGAAAUUAAGCAGCUCAUUGAAAAUUCAAGAGUUCCAGCCAGAAGCUACAGCUAGGCUCAGAUGUUGAAAUCAGUCUCUCCUGCUGAUCAAACUGUGACAUAGCCAAAGCAAUAGGCCUGGCUUUUCAGUUAAUUCUCAGCGAGCCCUUCCUUUCCCUCUGUAGUGGUUGGUGUGGCAUUUAUAAUAUAACUCCUUUAUGUACACUGUAAACCAUUCCUUCUCAGGGCAGAUGGAAGUAUGAAAUCUAUCUAUUUCAGUCUAUAAAAUUAUAUUUAGAGCGUUAGGUAAUGAAUGUCCUAGUAAAGUCGGCAGAGGACAGGUAGGUUAAAUGACAAGUAAGGAAUGACAGGCAGGUAGUAGAUGAUAAGAGUUGCAGAACAGUUUGGGGAGAAGGACUUUAUUUUUAAAUGCCUUUAGUAACACUACUACUACUAAUAUAGCAGUAAAGUACUUUUUACCCAUUAAUAAAUGGGUAAAAGUAAUUUCAAGUUAGCAAAUUUCUCAUUUAUAUGCAGUGUUUCAUAUAACAAUGGCUCAAUCCUGAUCCUUGUAGGAAACUACCUUAACCAUUGUGUAUUUUUUCAGCUUUUAAUGACUAUACAAGCACAUCUUAUCAUAUUUUAUAUUUUUUACAUAAAGAAGUCAUGCAACUUACACCAUGAACAUCUUUCCAUAUCAGGUCAUAUGGAACUUUUUCAUUCUUUUUAACAAUUGCAGAAUAUUGUGGGAAGUAGUUUAAUUUACUCAGCUAGUCUUCUAAUGAUGGACAUUUGGCUUGUUUACAAUUUCCAUUCUUUCACAAAGCCUGCUGCAACAAAUAACAUUAUUCAUAUGGCAUUUUGUUUAAGUGUGAGUAUAUAUGUAGGAUAAAUUUCUAGAAAGUAGACUUGCUGGAUUAAAAGUUAUGUACAUUUUAAAUUUUGAUAGAUAUUGCCAAAUUUCCAUGCAAAGGAUAAAUUUCUUUGUGUAGAAUUGCUUGGUUGCAUGGUGUAUGCAUUUCAUCUUUCAGAAAUGUUGUAUCAGUUUAUAUUCCUGGGCAAUAUGGGCAAACAAGAUAACCUGAAAAUCCCCCUAGAAAGACACCUAAAAUAUUAAAAAAUAUGUAACAAAUAUCUCAUGUAUAGAACUAGGCUUGCAAAAAAGUAAGGCAAAUCCCCAGGGAUCAAAAAAUGAAGAAGCUGAAAACCAAGGGAGGAAGCAGACAUUGAAGCCACUGAUGCCCUGGGGCAUUUAUAGUUGCAGGUAACCAAGAUGCUUGGUGUUUAACAGCCACAUGAAGAUAAGACCUUGGACCCAGCAAGGUGUAGAGAGGAGCCAAGACCCUCACAAGAAUCUGGAACCCUCAAGCACUAAAAGAUGGAUAGAAAAAAAUAACGAGCGAAAGGAGAUAAUAAGGCAAAUUGUCUGGCUUGGCUUAGGCAUACAGAGUAAAAACGAAAAGUAUGUACUGAGAAUUUAUAACCACAGGCCUGCCCUCAAGUGGGAUAGGAGUUCUAAUACAUACUACCUUGGGACACCUUGGGUGCCUAACAGAGGCAAAUGCAAAUCCUCUCCAAAGACUCAUGUCUUCAACCUAGGCUACCUAAGAUUCUGCUAUGGUUUGAAUAUUUUUCCCUCCAAAACUCCUGUUGAAAUUUAAUCCCCAUUGUGGCCAUAUUGAGAGGUGGGGUCUUUAAGAGGUGAUUGGGUCAUAAGGGAUCUGCCCUCAUUAAUGGACGAAUCCAUUCAUGGAUUAAUGGAUUAAUGGGUUAUCACAGGAGAGGGACUGGUGGCUUUAUGAGGAGAAAAGAGACCUGAGCUAGCAUACUCAGUCCUCUUACCAUGUGAUGCCCUGCACCACCUUUGGACGCUUCAGAGUCCCCACCAGCAAGAAGGCCCUCAGCAGAUGUGGCCCCCUGACCUAAAACUUCCCAGCCUCCAUUAUUGUAAUAAAUAAAUCCUAUUCUUUAUAAAUUAUCUAGGUUCGUUAUUCUGUGAUAAGCAGUAGAAAACAGACUAAGACAAUUCCCAUGGAUAAAAGGUUUGAUUGAACAUAAAUUCACAAUCCAAAAUUUCAUACCAAAAGAAAGAUUCCCAUG